CUGUAUGAGCUGUCUGUAUAUUUUAGAAACAAAUCCCUUGUCGGUAGCACCAUUUGUAAAUAUUUUUCCCCAGCGCAUAAGUUGUCUUUUCAUUUUGUUUAUGGUUUCCCUUGCUGUUCAAAAGCUUUUAAGUUUAAUUAGGUCCCAUUUGUUUAUUUUUGCUUUGGUUUCCACUACUCUAGGAGAUGGAUCCAUUUUUUGAAUAUGGUUGCAGUUUUGGAUAUUGCUGCAAUUUACAUCAAAGAGGUUUUGGCCUAAGCUUACCUCUAAGAGUUUUAUAGUAUCCAGUCUUAUAUUUAGGGAUUUUUUUUUUUUUCUUUUUAGGGCUGCACCAGUGGCAUAUGAAAGUUCCCAGGCUAUGGGUCGGAUCAGAUCUACAGCUGCUGCCCUAUGCCACAGCCACAGCAACUUAAGGUCCAAGCCACAUCUGCGACCUACACCAUAGCUCACAGCAACGCUGGAUUCUUAACCCACUGAGCAAGACCAGGGAUCGAACCCACAUCCUCAAAGAUCCUAGUUGAGUAUGUUACUGCUAAGCCAUGAUGGGAACUCCCUAUAUUUAGGUUUUAAUGCAUUUAAAAAAUAUUUUAAUCUAUUUCGAGUUUAUUUAUAUAUAUAUUUUGUAUGGUGUUAGAGAAUGUAUGGUAUUCUAAUUUCAUUCUUUUACAUGUAGCUAGCUAUCCAGUUUCCAUAGCCCACUUACUGAAGAGAGUGUCUUCUGUCCAUUGUAUAUUUUUGCCUCCUUUGUUGUAGAUUAACUGGCCAUAACUGUGUGGGUUUACCUCUGGGCUUUCUAUCCUAUUCCACUGAUCUGUAUUUCUGUUUUUGUGCCAGUACCAUACUGUUUUGAUGACUGCAUUUUUGUAGUAUAGUCUAAAGUCAGGAAGCCUGACUCAUCCAGCUCUGCUCUUCUUUCUCAAUAUUGCUUUGGCAAUCUUGUGUGUUUUGAUACAAAUUCUAAGAAGAAACUUGAAAGCUUACACUGGUUGUCCUUGAAUCUCUCUGACUGUUCCUUCUUCAUCUCCAUACAGGCUCAUGAUUGUCCACCUGCCUCUGACAGUGGUCCACAGGAUUCCUUCAUUAUGAGGCCAACAGUCCCAGGCUCCACACUCUUCCUGGGCAAUCUGUGAAUCCCCCAUGUCAAUCUCUAAACCAGAGCCUCCUCCGAGAUUUAGACUCACUCUCCUUUGGCUCCCUGAACAAUUUUACCCAUCCCCCCAGAUCUAUCUUCGUCUUGGAUGGAAACACUCCAUUCAACCCUAGCAGGAAAGCUGAGAUUCUUUCCAUAUGCUGCCCUUUCUAUCAUAGCUCAUGGUGACCAGUCCCCAAGUCCCCAAGGUUUUAUCUUCUAAAGAUCGCCCAGAUAGUCCUCUCCUGGGCCUUCCCACCCCCAGUGUCCUAGGUCAGGCCCAGCACGUCUCCCAUCUACUCUACAACCCAAACUGCUGUGUCUACUGCCACCAGGGAGGCUUCCAGAAGGUAAAUCUGAGCAGGACCUUCUCUAUUGAACAAUCCAUCAACAACUUCCUGUGCACAAGUACGAAACCUUUAUUUUGACUUCAAGACCCUCUGCAACCUUGUCAUUUGCCCUCUCCCCAUGCUCCCUAAAUGGGGCCCAGGCCACUGAAAGGGCAUGGUAGGUCAGAGCCAGAGCCUAGCAAACUUAAUCUUCCUGCCUCAAAUUUUUGUCAUAAAAUAAAACCCAUUUCUUUCUUGUUCUUUUUUUUUUUUUUAAGGGCUGCACCCAUGGCAUAUGGAGUUUCCCAGGCUAGGGGUCCAAUCGAAGCUAUAGCCUCUGGCCUAUGCCACAGCCAUAGCAACAUGGGAUCUGAGACACAUCUGCGACCGACACCACAGCUCAUGGCAACACUGGAUCCUUAAUCCACUGAGUUCAGGAACUGAACCUGCAUCCUCAUGGAUGCUAGUCAGUUUCUGCUGAGUUACAACAGGAACUCCUCUUUUUCUGUUUCUAUCCCAUAUUUUCUGUUUUGUUUUGUUUUUGUUUAUUUAUUUAUUUAUUUAUUUAUUUGGUUACCGCAUUAUCAUAGGAAAAGAAAGUGAGCAAGUAAAAAAAUUUGAAGGCUUUGCGAUUGAGGAGAUUCUAGAAUAUGGGAUGGAGCUUGACUAACACAAGCUCAUCCAAAGGUGGGGCUCUGAUAA
Molecule: long non-coding RNA, 2160 nt
Filed under: Sus scrofa (pig)
Lineage: Eukaryota; Metazoa; Chordata; Mammalia; Artiodactyla; Suidae
Description: lncRNA (ENSSSCG00040038128.1)
Source: RNAcentral